RNAcentral lists this ribosomal RNA (305 nucleotides) under uncultured bacterium. Its description in RNAcentral is "bacterial SSU rRNA". It matches the Rfam family "Bacterial small subunit ribosomal RNA", at positions 332 to 655 of the family's 1533-position model. The record is from RNAcentral.
GCGACCCUACGGAGGCAGCAGUCGGGAAUAUUGCGCAAUGGAGGAAACUCUGACGCAGUGACGCCGCGUAUAGGAAGAAGGUUUUCGGAUUGUAAACUAUUGUCGUUAGGGAAGAUACAAGACAGUACCUAAGGAGGAAGCCCCGGCUAACUAUGUGCCAGCAGCCGCGGUAAUACAUAGGGGGCAAGCGUUAUCCGGAUUUAUUGGGUGUAAAGGGUGCGUAGACGGAGAAACAAGUUGGUUGUGGAAUCCCUCAGCUCAACUGAGGAACUGCAACCAAAACUAUUUCCCUUGAGUGUCGGAGA